AGAACGAACGCUGGCGGCAUGCCUAAUACAUGCAAGUCGAACGAACACUUCGGUGUUAGUGGCGCACGGGUGCGUAACGCGUGGGAAUCUGCCCUUGGGUUCGGAAUAACAGUUGGAAACGACUGCUAAUACCGGAUGAUGACGAAAGUCCAAAGAUUUAUCGCCCAGGGAUGAGCCCGCGUAGGAUUAGCUAGUUGGUGAGGUAAAGGCUCACCAAGGCGACGAUCCUUAGCUGGUCUGAGAGGAUGAUCAGCCACACUGGGACUGAGACACGGCCCAGACUCCUACGGGAGGCAGCAGUAGGGAACAUUGGACAAUGGGCGCAAGCCUGAUCCAGCAAUGCCGCGUGAGUGAUGAAGGCCUUAGGGUUGUAAAGCUCUUUAGCCGGAUGAUAAUGACAGUACCGGAGAAUAAGCUCCGGACUAACUCCGUGCCAGCAGCCGC
Molecule: ribosomal RNA, 444 nt
Filed under: uncultured soil bacterium
Lineage: Bacteria
Description: bacterial SSU rRNA
Rfam family: Bacterial small subunit ribosomal RNA
Source: RNAcentral